GGGAAUGUGGCUUAGUGGUAGAGUGCUUGCCUAGCAUGCAUGAAGUCCUGGGUUCCAUUCCUCAUUACCA
Dipodomys ordii (Ord's kangaroo rat) is the source of this 70-nucleotide non-coding RNA. Lineage: Eukaryota; Metazoa; Chordata; Mammalia; Rodentia; Heteromyidae. The record is from Rfam.